Molecule: long non-coding RNA, 1165 nt
Filed under: Zalophus californianus (California sea lion)
Lineage: Eukaryota; Metazoa; Chordata; Mammalia; Carnivora; Otariidae
Description: lncRNA (ENSZCAG00015010583.1)
Source: RNAcentral
CUCAAAUGUUACAUGCGCCCAUUGUGCGGGAUCACACACCUUUUCUGUUGAUGCAGUGGGUAAUUUGAUUUUAUUGGUUUGGUACUCAUCUUAGAGAUCGCCUUUUUAUCUUUUUGGUUAAUUUAGAUCAAAUUUCUGAGAAGAUUAAGAAUUGCAUGAAGGAAAAUGUAGAACUUGCAGAAACAAUAUGCAUUUUUGAACAGAAGGUACAAUCACCCCCCCAUUUUUUUUUCAUUUUUAUGGUUUCACGUGGAAUGAUGUCCACUUCCAGGUCACUGAUUUUGCCAUCUCCUCUUUCAUCCUAGUGCCCCUUUCAUUCCAUUCUAUACCAGGCUGAAUUUAAAGCAAGCAUCACAUAUGUAAAGUGUUGCUUCCUUUAUUUCCAUAAGGACUUACCCACGGGAGAUCGGUUUUGCUGUCACCAUAAUUAAUUUUUUGAAUUCUGAAUCCUCUAUUAUAUAUUUGUGUAGAUCAAUGAAGCAAAGAAAUGUACUCAAGAAACCAUGUGGCCAAAGAAGCUUCCCUCUUAUGGAGCCCAUAGACUUAAGCUAAAAUCCUUUUCCAGGAGACAAUAUCCUGACAGUGGAGCAAUUCAGAUCAUUGUUUUUGUUGUUCAGCAUGGUUUGCAUUCUUCUCAACUAGUGUCUUUGAGGUGCCAGAACCGGAUGAACUGUCUACCCUCCUCUGGCCGGCCGUCUAGCUCACACAGGAGCACCCGUGGAUCUAACAAUCAUCUCACUACAUCUAACAGGAUUCAUCCCAAUGACAGCAGUUUUGCUGCUCCUAUCACUACCAUAUUGGCACCUGGAAUUGCUAUACUAUUAACAGAUUGAAACCUUAAUACUACAUGCUUUGUCGCAGCCAGAGGAGGGGACCCCAGUGUUUAUCAGCAUCUAUUCUGAUUCUUUGGACACCACGAAGUAGGUGUCCUCAUUUUACAAGGUUUCAGGAUAAUCUCACCUACUAUUCAUGCAAAAAAGAGCCCUUCAGGUACGUGGGAAUAGUCUGAGCAAUAAUAUCUAUUGGUUUCUUUGGCUUUAUCAUAUGGCCCACCAUAUGUUUACUGUAGGGAUAGACGGUGAAACACGAGCAUACUUUACAUCAGCUACUGUAAUUAUUACUAUACCAACAGGAGUCAAUGUAUUCAGCUGACUUGCCACCCUUC